CCAGACUCCUACGGGAGGCAGCAGUGGGGAAUAUUGCACAAUGGGGGGAACCCUGAUGCAGCGACGCCGCGUGGGUGAAGGAGUGUUCCGGUAUGUAAAGCCCUAUCAGCAGGGAAGAACAAUGACGGUACCUGACUAAGAAGCACCGGCUAAAUACGUGCCAGCAGCCGCGGUAAUACGUAUGGUGCAAGCGUUAUCCGGAUUUACUGGGUGUAAAGGGGGCGUAGACGGCGACGCAAGUCUGGAGUGAAAGCCCGGGGCCCAACCCCGGGACUGCUCUUGGAACUGCGUGGCUGGAGUGCAGGAGGGGCAGGCGGAAUUCCUGGUGUAGCGGUGAAAUGCGUAGAUAUCAGGAGGAACACCGGUGGCGAAGGCGGCCUGCUGGACUGCAACUGACGUUGAGGCCCGAAAGCGUGGGGAGCAAACAGGAUUAGAUACCCUGGUAAG
This 447-nucleotide ribosomal RNA is filed under the name uncultured bacterium. RNAcentral describes it as "bacterial SSU rRNA". It matches the Rfam family "Bacterial small subunit ribosomal RNA", at positions 331 to 793 of the family's 1533-position model. The record is from RNAcentral.